Molecule: ribosomal RNA, 455 nt
Filed under: uncultured bacterium
Lineage: Bacteria
Description: bacterial SSU rRNA
Rfam family: Bacterial small subunit ribosomal RNA
Source: RNAcentral
GACGAACGCUGGCGGUGUGCUUCACACAUGCAAGUCGAACGAGGUAGCAAUACCUAGUGGCGGACGGGUGAGUAACGCGUGGGAAUCUGCCCAAGGGUGGGGGAUAACUAGCCGAAAGGUUAGCUAAUACCGCAUAUGCCGUGAGGUAAAAGGAGUAAUCCGCCCCUGGAUGAGCCUGCGUCCGAUUAGCUAGUUGGUAAGGUAAAGGCUUACCAAGGCUACGAUCGGUAGCUGGUCUGAGAGGAUGAUCAGCCACAAUGGGACUGAGACACGGCCCAUACUCCUACGGGAGGCAGCAGUGGGGAAUUUUACGCAAUGGGGGGAAACCCUGACGUAGCGACACCGCGUGAGCGAAGAAGCCCUUUGGGGUGUAAAGCUCUGUCAGCAGGAACGAAAAAAAUGACGGUACCUGCAGAGGAAGCAUCGGCUAACUACGUGCCAGCAGCCGCGGUAAU